This 465-nucleotide ribosomal RNA is filed under the name Vreelandella stevensii. Its description in RNAcentral is "partial 16S ribosomal RNA". It matches the Rfam family "Bacterial small subunit ribosomal RNA", at positions 338 to 795 of the family's 1533-position model. Lineage: Bacteria; Pseudomonadati; Pseudomonadota; Gammaproteobacteria; Oceanospirillales; Halomonadaceae. The record is from RNAcentral.
CCUACGGGGGGCAGCAGUGGGGAAUAUUGGACAAUGGGGGGAACCCUGAUCCAGCCAUUCCGCGUGUGUGAAGAAGGCCCUCGGGUUGUAAAGCACUUUCAGUGAGGAAGAACGCCUGGUGGUUAAUACCCAUCAGGAAAGACAUCACUCACAGAAGAAGCACCGGCUAACUCCGUGCCAGCAGCCGCGUUAAUACGGAGGGUGCGAGCGUUAAUCGGAAUUACUGGGCGUAAAGCGCGCGUAGGUGGCUUGAUAAGCCGGUUGUGAAAGCCCCGGGCUCAACCUGGGAACGGCAUCCGGAACUGUCAAGCUAGAGUGCAGGAGAGGAAGGUAGAAUUCCCGGUGUAGCGGUGAAAUGCGUAGAGAUCGGGAGGAAUACCAGUGGCGAAGGCGGCCUUCUGGACUGACACUGACACUGAGGUGCGAAAGCGUGGGUAGCAAACAGGAUUAGAUACCCCAGUAGUC